Molecule: transfer RNA, 73 nt
Filed under: Erythrocladia irregularis
Lineage: Eukaryota; Rhodophyta; Compsopogonophyceae; Erythropeltidales; Erythrotrichiaceae
Description: tRNA-His
Rfam family: tRNA
About the family: Transfer RNA (tRNA) molecules are approximately 80 nucleotides in length.
Source: RNAcentral
GGCGAGCGUAGCCAAGCGGUAAGGCAGUGGAUUGUGGUUCCACCAUUGGCGGGUUCGAUUCCCGUCGUUCGCC